ACUCGCGAGAUUGAUAGUUGGCUACAUGACUGGGCUCCGAGUGCGCAUGCGCAUUCUCCCCUCUUUGCCCUGGGCCACGCCUCCUUCGAGGCCCCAGAGAGCUCUUGGGUAAGGAAUGGGCGGGGCCUCGAGGGAGAGAUUGGAGACGUAGGUUUGUGCGUCGGCUUCCCGGCAUGACGCGAGCGCUGUCUUCCAGGCGUUCUUAACGGCUCAGGGUCCACCGGCGCCUGGUCUGCUCUGCUUGGCAGGGAUCUGCGGCACUCCGAGAAAACUUGCCCAGGUUUUGCGCCGCCUACUGCAGUAUAGAGGCCUGUGCAGGCCUUAACACUUUCGCUGCCGCCGCUCAUAGAAAUACUUCGAAUAAUCUCCAGUGGUUACGCCUUCCACUGUCCUCAACAUAGCCUGUGGGUCUUGCGCACGGAUCUGCUGCAGGUUAUCAAGAACAUCGUGUUCUACUCAAUAGAAAAUCGUACUGCUGUGAAUUGUUAUCUGCCCUGCACAGGCUCUUAUUCAUCUUUGUAUCCCCAUAUCCAGUAUUCUAUCAGUAUGUAUUGAAUAGCGGAGACACACUUUUCAAGAGUUAAGAUUUGUGCAAACUGUUGAUUUUGUUGAAUUUCAAACAGAAGAGCUCUCCUUUGAAUCUAUAGUCUGCAAACUUUUAACUGAUCACAUGAUAAUUUUUAAGUUGAGAUCUGGAAAAAUGCCCCCCAGCCCAUUAGAAAUACUGUUUGUGAGACUAUAAGGAACCAUCUAAGGAUAUAUGAACAGAAAAAUACACAAAUGAGGUUUGUUGUGGUCUUCACCUGUUACUGCAAAAAGCCAGCAGUAGUGAGUCCAACAUAGAAAGUGUGAUUUUAAAGCUGUUGUACAGCCACACAGUGAACUAUUAUUUAUCUUCAACAACCAUUAAUGCAGAAGAGUGUUUAUUAUAUAGUGUUAACUGAAAAAACAAGUUGAAAAACAUGAAUGAAACAUUGGAAGGAUAAUCAUAAAAGUAUUGAAAGUGAUUGUUGUUGGUAUAUAUUUCCUAAUUCUUUUUAGUUUGUAUUUUUAUUUUUUUCUAAAGUGAAUCUCUGUAUUACUAUAUCAAGAAA
RNAcentral lists this long non-coding RNA (1094 nucleotides) under Capra hircus (goat). RNAcentral describes it as "lncRNA (ENSCHIG00010011169.1)". The record is from RNAcentral. Lineage: Eukaryota; Metazoa; Chordata; Mammalia; Artiodactyla; Bovidae.